This 252-nucleotide long non-coding RNA is filed under the name Elaeis guineensis (African oil palm). Its description in RNAcentral is "long non-coding RNA (EGUI_LNC069080)". Lineage: Eukaryota; Viridiplantae; Streptophyta; Magnoliopsida; Arecales; Arecaceae. The record is from RNAcentral.
CUAAGUGCGGGUUCAUCUAUAGUACUAGGAUUUUGGGGGGCUGGAGCUGACGAACUUCUAGAACUACUAGAGGAGGAAGUGUUGGAGGACAUUUUAAAUUAAAUGAAAAUCCCAAAAUAAUCUCAGAAAAAUUGGAAAAAAUAGGAAACAAGGCGCUCGCGAAGAAACUGAACAGGCGGAAUGCAGAGGAGGAAAAACGGAAGAACAACAAGAAAAAGAAGGGUUCCAAAACUAACCUAGGUUGGUCCGUGA